GACGUAGGGCGCGAGCGUUGUCCGGAAUUAUUGGGCGUAAAGAGCUCGUAGGCGGCUUGUCACGUCGGGUGUGAAAGCCCGGGGCUUAACCCCGGGUCUGCAUUCGAUACGGGCUAGCUAGAGUGUGGUAGGGGAGAUCGGAAUUCCUGGUGUAGCGGUGAAAUGCGCAGAUAUCAGGAGGAACACCGGUGGCGAAGGCGGAUCUCUGGGCCACAACUGACGCUGAGGAGCGAAAGCGUGGGGAGCGAACAGG
Molecule: ribosomal RNA, 253 nt
Filed under: uncultured bacterium
Lineage: Bacteria
Description: partial 16S ribosomal RNA
Rfam family: Bacterial small subunit ribosomal RNA
Source: RNAcentral